RNAcentral lists this ribosomal RNA (253 nucleotides) under uncultured bacterium. RNAcentral's name for it is "partial 16S ribosomal RNA". It matches the Rfam family "Bacterial small subunit ribosomal RNA", at positions 524 to 776 of the family's 1533-position model. The record is from RNAcentral.
UACGGAGGGGGCUAGCGUUGUUCGGAAUUACUGGGCGUAAAGCGCACGUAGGCGGACUGGAAAGUCAGGGGUGAAAUCCCGGGGCUCAACCCCGGAACUGCCUUUGAAACUCCCGGUCUUGAGGUCGAGAGAGGUGAGUGGAAUUCCGAGUGUAGAGGUGAAAUUCGUAGAUAUUCGGAGGAACACCAGUGGCGAAGGCGGCUCACGGGCUCGAUAAUGACGUUGAGGAGCGAAAGCGUGGGGAGCAAACAGG